CCCUUUGUGAACUUAUACCUUACUGUUGCCUCGGCGCAUGCUGGCCUCUAGUAGGCCCCUCACCCCGGUGAGGAGAAGGCACGCCGGCGGCCAAGUUAACUCUUGUUUUUACACUGAAACUCUGAGAAAAAACACAAAUGAAUCAAAACUUUCAACAACGGAUCUCUUGGUUCUGGCAUCGAUGAAGAACGCAGCGAAAUGCGAUAAGUAAUGUGAAUUGCAGAAUUCAGUGAAUCAUCGAAUCUUUGAACGCACAUUGCGCCCUCUGGUAUUCCGGAGGGCAUGCCUGUUCGAGCGUCAUUUCAACCCUCAAGCAUUGCUUGGUGUUGGGGCACUGCUUUUAACGAAGCAGGCCCUGAAAUCUAGUGGCGAGCUCGCCAGGACCCCGAGCGCAGUAGUUAAACCCUCGCUCUGGAAGGCCCUGGCGGUGCCCUGCCGUUAAACCCCCAACUUCUGAAAAUUUGACCUCGGAUCAGGUAGGAAUACCCGCUGAACUUAAGCAUAUCAAUAAGCG
This 514-nucleotide ribosomal RNA is filed under the name Diaporthe sp. PF7. Its description in RNAcentral is "eukaryotic LSU rRNA". The stretch from base 147 to 300 matches the Rfam family "5.8S ribosomal RNA". The record is from RNAcentral. Lineage: Eukaryota; Fungi; Ascomycota; Sordariomycetes; Diaporthales; Diaporthaceae.